CAGUAGCCACGGUAAUACAGAUGGUGCGAGCGUUAAUCGGAUUUACUGGGCGUAAAGCGUGCGUAGGCGGCUUUUUAAGUCGGAUGUGAAAUCCCUGAGCUUAACUUAGGAAUUGCAUUCGAUACUGGGAAGCUAGAGUAUGGGAGAGGAUGGUAGAAUUCCAGGUGUAGCGGUGAAAUGCGUAGAGAUCUGGAGGAAUACCGAUGGCGAAGGCAGCCAUCUGGCCUAAUACUGACGCUGAGGUACGAAAGCAUGGGGAGCAAACAGGAUUAGAUACCCGCGUAGUCCCUGUCUCUUAUAC
This 301-nucleotide ribosomal RNA is filed under the name uncultured bacterium. Its description in RNAcentral is "partial 16S ribosomal RNA". It matches the Rfam family "Bacterial small subunit ribosomal RNA", at positions 509 to 807 of the family's 1533-position model. The record is from RNAcentral.